This 241-nucleotide ribosomal RNA is filed under the name Bacillus anthracis (anthrax bacterium). Its description in RNAcentral is "partial 16S ribosomal RNA". It matches the Rfam family "Bacterial small subunit ribosomal RNA", at positions 1006 to 1248 of the family's 1533-position model. The record is from RNAcentral. Lineage: Bacteria; Bacillati; Bacillota; Bacilli; Caryophanales; Bacillaceae.
AUAGGGCUUCUCCUUCGGGAGCAGAGUGACAGGUGGUGCAUGGUUGUCGUCAGCUCGUGUCGUGAGAUGUUGGGUUAAGUCCCGCAACGAGCGCAACCCUUGAUCUUAGUUGCCAUCAUUUAGUUGGGCACUCUAAGGUGACUGCCGGUGACAAACCGGAGGAAGGUGGGGAUGACGUCAAAUCAUCAUGCCCCUUAUGACCUGGGCUACACACGUGCUACAAUGGACGGUACAAAGAGCU